AUUGAACGCUGGCGGCAUGCCUUACACAUGCAAGUCGAACGGCAGCACGGGUGCUUGCACCUGGUGGCGAGUGGCGAACGGGUGAGUAAUACAUCGGAACAUGUCCUGUAGUGGGGGAUAGCCCGGCGAAAGCCGGAUUAAUACCGCAUACGAUCCACGGCUGAAAGCGGGGGACCUUCGGGCCUCGCGCUAUAGGGUUGGCCGAUGGCUGAUUAGCUAGUUGGUGGGGUAAAGGCCUACCAAGGCGACGAUCAGUAGCUGGUCUGAGAGGACGACCAGCCACACUGGGACUGAGACACGGCCCAGACUCCUACGGGAGGCAGCAGUGGGGAAUUUUGGACAAUGGGCGAAAGCCUGAUCCAGCAAUGCCGCGUGUGUGAAGAAGGCCUUCGGGUUGUAAAGCACUUUUGUCCGGAAAGAAAUCCUUGGCUCUAAUACAGUCGGGGGAUGACGGUACCGGAAGAAUAAGCACCGGCUAACUACGUG
This 486-nucleotide ribosomal RNA is filed under the name uncultured bacterium. RNAcentral describes it as "partial 16S ribosomal RNA". It matches the Rfam family "Bacterial small subunit ribosomal RNA", at positions 30 to 507 of the family's 1533-position model. The record is from RNAcentral.